CGUAGGGUGCGAGCGUUAAUCGGAAUUACUGGGCGUAAAGCGUGCGCAGGCGGUUUGUUAAGAUAGGCGUGAAAUCCCCGGGCUCAACCUGGGAACUGCGCUUAUGACUGGCAAGCUAGAGUACGGCAGAGGGGGUGGAAUUCCACGUGUAGCAGUGAAAUGCGUAGAUAUGCGGAGGAACACCGAUGGCGAAGGCAAUCCCCUGGACCUGUACUGACGCUCAUGCACGAAAGCGUGGGGAGCAAACAGGAUUAGAUACCCUGGUAGUCCACGCCCUAAACGAUGUCAACUGGUUGUUGGGUCUUUACUGACUCAGUAACGAAGCUAACGCGUGAAGUUGACCGCCUGGGGAGUACGGCCGCAAGGUUG
Molecule: ribosomal RNA, 369 nt
Filed under: uncultured organism
Description: bacterial SSU rRNA
Rfam family: Bacterial small subunit ribosomal RNA
Source: RNAcentral